Molecule: long non-coding RNA, 627 nt
Filed under: Pongo abelii (Sumatran orangutan)
Lineage: Eukaryota; Metazoa; Chordata; Mammalia; Primates; Hominidae
Description: lincRNA
Source: RNAcentral
CAGAAAGGCAAGAGACCACCUAACUGAGCUUCAAACUGGGGCUGGGAACGCUGCCAUGAAUUGGGCUUGGUCUGUAUGAAGGAAGCCAACUUUUCGACAAUCCUUAGGCUUCUUUUGCCUGUUAGAACUACACCUUGGAUCGUGGCGAAGUCUAUAGAGGUCAGAUUAAGAAGAACCAAAGCAGAAUAAACGUAGAAGCCGGUGCUGAGUUCAUGAGUGAGGACGACCUCUUCCUAUAUGCUUUGCUAUACCCUGCGUUUUGAACAUUAAGAACGAGAUAGCAGGCCCAUAAUGUUUCUUCUUGCUUUAAUCCUAUCAUGGCAACGUUGACUUCCACCUGAUUGCAGAGUGAGCCCAUGGGACAGCCCUCUGAAAUUAUACUGCUUACGACCAUGCUGAGUCUGCAAGGACUUCAUCCAGGCCUUUCCGCCCAAGACCUCAAACAGAUCCAAUCACAAGAAGAGAGAUUUCAGGAAAGAGAAAAUUAUUCCUAUCGUCGGGGUUUUUGAAGAACAUGAAAUGACUGGGAAAAUAAUCAUGUUAAGUGGAAAAAAAAGAAAUCUAUCUGUUGUAAUUUUCAAAUAAUUUUUAAAUAAAUUUGAAAAAUUAAGAGAACUAUAUAUGUAA